UUAGAACUUAAUUGAUUUACCUUGUACUGUAGUUUCAUGGCUUUAACAUGUAACUCUUGAAAGGCAUCCAACAACAAGUCAUAUUUCACUUCUAUAAGCUCACUUUCAAAGUCAUUAUCGUUGUCUUCAGAAUGCACAGAUCCUGCUCAACACUAUGAUCAUCAUCACUUGAUGUACCAUCAUCAUUGUUCUUUCAAGCAAUGUAAGCCUUUUUCUGCUUACUUCUCCUAUUGUCCUGUCGAUACUUGGUGUCAGCCUUCUCUCUGUUUUUCAACUAUGAACAUUCGGGCUUUAUGUGACCAUCUUUAUUGCAUUCAUAGCAUGUCACAAUGUUGUUCUUGGAGUUCUUCCUCCCUCAUUUCGAGUAACCUGCAUGGUCAGUUGCAACAGUUUUAAUUUUCAUGAAUUUAGUAAACUUCUUGACCAUCAUAUUCAUGACCUCUUUUUCAGGUAUCUCUGCAUCAGAC
RNAcentral lists this long non-coding RNA (467 nucleotides) under Vigna radiata. Its description in RNAcentral is "long non-coding RNA (VRAD_LNC016879)". The record is from RNAcentral. Lineage: Eukaryota; Viridiplantae; Streptophyta; Magnoliopsida; Fabales; Fabaceae.